RNAcentral lists this unclassified non-coding RNA (211 nucleotides) under Hevea brasiliensis (rubber tree). The record is from RNAcentral. Lineage: Eukaryota; Viridiplantae; Streptophyta; Magnoliopsida; Malpighiales; Euphorbiaceae.
GGUUUUCAGGUGUGUGAAUCCCUCUUAAACUGACAAUACAAGGAAGAAAACUUAAUAGCUCUUGAGGACCUGCGACUUAUCCAAUUGAUGUAUAAGUUAUUUAAUUAUAACUUUAUUGACCUGCAUAGACUUUUAAAGAUUGUGUCAAUCUUCUUUGACCUCUUAUCAUUUGUAUAGCCUUUUCAACUGACCUUUGAGGACUUGUUGGAAA